GGCCUCGUAGCUCAGCUGGUAGAGCAUGCGCGUACAAAGCGUAGGCGGUGUCCAUGCGUGGGUUCCAACCCCACCGACUA
This 80-nucleotide transfer RNA is filed under the name Echinostoma caproni. It matches the Rfam family "tRNA". From Rfam's summary of the family: Transfer RNA (tRNA) molecules are approximately 80 nucleotides in length. Their secondary structure includes four short double-helical elements and three loops (D, anti-codon, and T loops). The record is from Rfam by way of RNAcentral. Lineage: Eukaryota; Metazoa; Platyhelminthes; Trematoda; Plagiorchiida; Echinostomatidae.